Molecule: long non-coding RNA, 517 nt
Organism: Papilio xuthus (Asian swallowtail)
Lineage: Eukaryota; Metazoa; Arthropoda; Insecta; Lepidoptera; Papilionidae
Exons: 2
Source: RefSeq, a predicted model, not a curated record
UCGACUAACGUAUCGGUCAUUUAAUAUUGAAUAGAAAAAAAAUGAAAUUUUUCAUAGUCGGAUUUUUGAUAGCAGCUGUAGUGAUAGUCGAAUGUUCCCAUACAUUUAUGGGCACGAGCGUACAAGGGGAGUUAGUUUACCAACGUACAGUCAAAUACAGUUCGAAAAUGUUUCAAAAAAGAAUCGAAACGUUGAACGUCACAAUACCAUAUAAUAAACUAUACGGACGUUAUAUUCAGGGCGUGCUAGCUUACGAUUUAACCAAGUCAGGAGCCUCGGCCAACGUCACAGCGGGAGGAGUCGGAUUUACAUUCGUCAACCUUCGCAUGAAGAGCGAUAAAGGGGAAGAUCUUAAAUAUGAUAUUUCCAUUUAUGCAUAAAUUUAUAAAUGUUUCAAAAAGUGUUUUAAUUAAGUGUAUUGCAAAUUACGAAGCUAUAAUAAAGAAGUAAGUGAUUAAUCUUACUAAUGUUUGGAUGCAUAGAUUAAGGGAUCUCGCUGAAAUUUGACAUAGAUGUA